Molecule: small nuclear RNA, 145 nt
Organism: Mustela erminea (ermine)
Lineage: Eukaryota; Metazoa; Chordata; Mammalia; Carnivora; Mustelidae
Product: U4 spliceosomal RNA
Exons: 1
Source: RefSeq, a predicted model, not a curated record
AGCUUUGCGCAGUGGCAGUAUCGUAGCCAAUGAGGUUUAUCCGAGGCACGAUUAUUGCUAAUUAAAGUAGGUAACUGAAAUAAUGCAUAAUUUUAUUAUUGUUAUAAUGAUAGCUUUUCAUUUUUUAAAAACUGCUAAUCAAAGU